UAAACUUGGAGAAAAGUAAAAGCCCUGUGUACCCGAGCCAUUAAAUGUAGGUGUUGUUGCUGGAGUUAGCUCUACAUUGUUUGCAUCUACCUUCUUGAAUACUGAAAACCCGUCUACGGUCGAGGUAAAAGGUCAAGCUUUUUCACUUAUAAAUGAUUGUCGGGCUAAAGUUUGUGACAUGCUGAAUGAGCUGGUUAGUUACUAUGGUUGAGAAGGACACAAGUCUUACAUAUUCUUACUUUUUGGUACUAAUGGCUUUGCUGUAAGCUUCUGUCGCUUGCAAAAAGAUAUUAGUAAUCAAUGGGUGUUUGCGGGUUAUCUUGAAGAUGCAAUCAUCAUAGAAGUUUAAUCCAUCUUCAUCUAUCUUUCAUUACGUGUCUUAAAACUUUUAGAAAAUCCCGACGAUAUCGAAGCUGCUCGAGAAUUAUCGAAGGUAGGGAGGGUUGGUUUAUCAUUGACGGAAGAGCAGUAAAUAAGGCUUUCUGUUGCUAUGGUAGUGCUUUUAAACCCAUCUAUUCUUCUUCUUGAUUAAGUCACCAGUGGACUAGACUUUGAAGCUGAAAGAUCUGUAUGGGAGGCUUUGGAUUUCUUGACGAUUAUGUAACAUUAUAACUCUCUCUCUCUCUCUGUCUCUCUCUCUCUCUCUCACUAUAGCUAGGUAGCAUUACAUACAAGAAUUUAUUUUUACUUGCAGCUAUGUACUUAAAAUUGGUUUUGUAUUAUACUUGCCUCUAUAUGUUAUAAUCCACAAACCUGUAGGGAAUUGUCGAUUAUGACAGUUUUGGCAAGAUCUACACUUGAAACCGUCGUUUGCAAAGAUCAUGACUUUUUGUAAGCUUGAUUAGAGAUGAAUUUUUCAUCUGUGUCGAAUAUAUCUAUAAGUUGCUUUGUGUAAAUGCUUUGACUGAUAGUGAUUACAGUGGAUGAUAUCAAACAGUUUCGGGACCUUUUACAAAACUAUCUUGAGGCUGAAAAUUGGAUCAAUUUAUGGCAAUGGGCCGAACGUGGUUGGGACUUGACAAUCGUAAUCUCAAUAAAUGUAUUGACGAUGAGGAUUGUGGAGACACGUGCAAAGCAGCUCUAAAAUCACUCAAGUUGUAACGGGUAUUUGACUGUAUCUAGAAUUCUAACAAGUAUUUGACCGCAUCUAGAAGUUGUUGCCCCGUUUCACUUUUAGUGGCUCCAUGUCUUGGUUAUGAUAUGCAACCAACAUUCAAAAUAAACGCGUUGAUCUCUUUGGUGGACCCACUAAAGGAUUUGAGGAAGAUAAUGGCUUACAAGCCUCAUCCAUGACAAAUCAGCAACUAAUGGAUAAUGGUCAUCAAAUGAUGGAUGGAUGAAAGUAACCAAGCUAUUGAACGGUCCAAAAAGACUUUUAAUAGACUUUUGUUGGUGAGGGCACAAGUGAACUCUUAUUGUAUAAUAAUUAUUCUUGCAAUAAGUUAACAAGAACAAGUGAUGACAGUGCACAGUCCAUCAAUGCAGAGAUGGUGAACAACUUUGGUGAUACAUUUGGUAUGAUUUUUGCACCAAGAUUAAAUGAAGCAUAAGUUUUAGUAUU
Molecule: long non-coding RNA, 1561 nt
Filed under: Helianthus annuus (common sunflower)
Lineage: Eukaryota; Viridiplantae; Streptophyta; Magnoliopsida; Asterales; Asteraceae
Description: hypothetical non coding rna
Source: RNAcentral